This 62-nucleotide transfer RNA is filed under the name Limnogonus intermedius. RNAcentral describes it as "tRNA-Arg". Lineage: Eukaryota; Metazoa; Arthropoda; Insecta; Hemiptera; Gerridae. The record is from RNAcentral.
AAGUAAAGAAGUAAAUUUUACAUUUAGUUUCGACCUAAAAAUAGAGCAAAGCUCCAUACUUU